RNAcentral lists this long non-coding RNA (415 nucleotides) under Salvia miltiorrhiza (redroot sage). RNAcentral describes it as "long non-coding RNA (SMIL_LNC014345)". Lineage: Eukaryota; Viridiplantae; Streptophyta; Magnoliopsida; Lamiales; Lamiaceae. The record is from RNAcentral.
CAGAAGCGCGGCGACCGGCGAUCUGGAACGGCCGGACGUGGCUGGUCAGGCGUCGAUGAAGGUCAACGACCUGUGCAGAUUAUUCUGCUCUGCUGCAACGGGACCGGAGUGUUGCUGCUUGCUGCAACGGAGGAGAUCUGCUCACGCCGGCUGCUGCAACUGCUCUGCUGGUCACGCCGCUGCUCACGGAGAAGGGACUGCGGACGCCGGAGCUUGGAAACGGAGGCGAGCAAAGGCAGGGGCUGCUCGGUGUCUGGGCAGCGACCGAGCGUCUCGCGUCUGCGUCUGGGUCUAGCUCGGCGGCACUCCGGUGGGAAGAGGCGGGUGGCGCUCAGGUGGGAAGUGGCGCGGUGGCCCGGCGGAAAAACGUUAUUCGCAGCUCCGCUCAGGAGAGAGAAAAGUCCAUCCCUAAGCC